UGCAAGUCGAGCGGCAGCACGGGUACUUGUACCUGGUGGCGAGCGGCGGACGGGUGAGUAAUGCCUAGGAAUCUGCCUGGUAGUGGGGGAUAACGCUCGGAAACGGACGCUAAUACCGCAUACGUCCUACGGGAGAAAGCAGGGGACCUUCGGGCCUUGCGCUAUCAGAUGAGCCUAGGUCGGAUUAGCUAGUUGGUGAGGUAAUGGCUCACCAAGGCGACGAUCCGUAACUGGUCUGAGAGGAUGAUCAGUCACACUGGAACUGAGACACGGUCCAGACUCCUACGGGAGGCAGCAGUGGGGAAUAUUGGACAAUGGGCGAAAGCCUGAUCCAGCCAUGCCGCGUGUGUGAAGAAGGUCUUCGGAUUGUAAAGCACUUUAAGUUGGGAGGAAGGGCAGUUACCUAAUACGUAUCUGUUUUGACGUUACCGACAGAAUAAGCACCGGCUAACUCUGUGCCAGCAGCCGCGGUAAUACAGAGGGUGCAAGCGUUAAUCGGAAUUACUGGGCGUAAAGCGCGCGUAGGUGGUUUGUUAAGUUGGAUGUGAAAUCCCCGGGCUCAACCUGGGAACUGCAUUCAAAACUGACAAGCUAGAGUAUGGUAGAGGG
This 609-nucleotide ribosomal RNA is filed under the name Pseudomonas sp. SH-2-03. RNAcentral's name for it is "bacterial SSU rRNA". It matches the Rfam family "Bacterial small subunit ribosomal RNA", at positions 56 to 658 of the family's 1533-position model. Lineage: Bacteria; Pseudomonadati; Pseudomonadota; Gammaproteobacteria; Pseudomonadales; Pseudomonadaceae. The record is from RNAcentral.